GGUCUCAAAUUAUAAAAGAAUUUGAUUGAUACGAAAUCUCUCUCUCGAUCAUUUGGAGUUUGGGUUAUCGUAGAGGAAAACACGAAGAUUUCGAAAAUGACGGGUUAAAGAUAAGGCAAAUUGCUGUAACAAAAGGUUCCCGAGUAAAAGAAGGAAAGGC
This 160-nucleotide long non-coding RNA is filed under the name Polistes fuscatus (common paper wasp). Its description in RNAcentral is "uncharacterized LOC122523542". The record is from RNAcentral. Lineage: Eukaryota; Metazoa; Arthropoda; Insecta; Hymenoptera; Vespidae.